Molecule: non-coding RNA, 3594 nt
Organism: Heterocephalus glaber (naked mole-rat)
Lineage: Eukaryota; Metazoa; Chordata; Mammalia; Rodentia; Bathyergidae
Source: RefSeq, a predicted model, not a curated record
GCAUGACUAGAAGGAUGUAUUCUGGUCUCUAGCUUCUCCUCUGAUUCCUGGCUUCCAUGAGAUAAGCCGCUUUCCUCGGCCAGGUCUUUCCACCAAAUUAUUUCUGCCUUGGAGCCAAUUGACCAUUGAUCAAGUCUGCCAAAACUGCACUUGGAUUUCCCAGAAGAAAAUGAAUUUUCUCCCCCUUUAUUUCUAUUCUGAUCAGAAGAGCACUCUAUGAAAACAAGGAAAAAAAUGUGCCUAUUUAUGGAGGAUACAAUACAAAAUUCACUCAGGUUCAGGUGCUGCACCAUCCAAACCUUUCAGGGAGUUCCUUCCGCUUUGGGUCCGUGAGCCCGUGUGGGUAAGACAACUGAGCCCCUUUGGAGAUGAGGCAUCUUCGUGGAGGACCCAAGCUCAUGACAACUGGCCCCAGGAUCAUCUCUAAAUACUUUGUUUGAACAGCAUUGCAUAGCUACUCUGGUCAUUGUUAAACGAUGUGAUGCUGUUCAGAUGGAUGAAUUUCAGCACCUACCACUGGGUGGUGAGGUACAUAGCCACUGCUGACCUGCAUGAUGGAAAAUGUCCAUGCCAUUCACUUCAAUCUCCAUUUUCCAUACUUGUUCUGAUUAGUAUACAGGUCAAGUCAUGUCUUCCAAGGAUGAUUGACUUUAAUUUUAUUCAUAAAGUUUGCAUUUUUAUGAUGUGAUUUCUUGUGAAGCUUUCUUUACAGAGAAACAGCCCUGUUGAGUAAGUUCAUAUUCCCUGAGUGAGACAUAACUCCAAACAUGAAAUAAGAUUGAACUUGACAGGCUUCUCCCCCAAAGUGGUUUGUUCUUGUUUUCAUACACAUGUAAAAAUGAUACCAUGGGAGUUACACACAAACCUCAAUACAGCAAGUUCCAUAUGUGAUGAUUAGAAUAAUGUCAUGUAAAACUAUUUGCUUUCCAUCUUAAAUAUAUUGCAAACAGUUUAGAGGGACCAGAUUACCUCUAUGCAUUUUGACUUUUGCUGGAGAAAGAAAUCUAAGUAAUGAAUGAUUUAUGAAUGGAAGGAGUAAAAAGAUGAUAACACUUAAUUGAAAAAGAUGCAGUCCAUCUUGGUGACCACUAAUCACAUGUACAGUCCUUAGUGAGUCCUCUGGUCCUUGAAGGUGGAUACAAGUUAGAGAUCAAACACAGAGGCAUCAAUCUUUUGCUCCUCUUCAAAAAGCCCCUUAAUUAUCUUUCUCCACUUUCCGUGAUUGACUUUAGCGGUAAUGGAAUAAGUUAGUUAAUUUUUAUCUUAAAUAUGUCAGAACCCCCCAUCCUGCACAUGGUAGAACCAUAUACUGUCUUGCAAAUUAGACUGCAAGCUACACAGGGCUGAGUCUCUACAAGCCAACAAUGGUUCUCAGGAUACAGUCAUCACUUGGCAUCCAUGGGCAUUGGUUUCAGAUCCCCACCUUUACCCCUGCAGACACUUGAUUCUGUUCGUGCUCAAGACUGAUAAAAAUGGUGCAGUUUGCUUAGGAUGUACACACAUCCUCCUAUAUACAAACUUUAAAUAGUCUGUAACUUAUUUAUAAUAACUAAUACACUGUAAAUGCUAUGUGAAUGGUUGUUAUGCUUCAUUGAUUAAGGGAUGUAAUAAGAAAAAGUCUGUACAUGCUCAGUACAGAUGCAAUUUUUUUCCAUUAUGUUUGGUCCACAUUUGGUUGAAUUUAUUCAUGCACACCCUGUGGAUACAAAGGGCUCACUGGACUUUGGAGAAAUGAAAAUGGCCUUGGAACAGGCUUAGGACCACCCAAAAGGGACUAAGACCCUUAAAUGCUGGGAAGGAGCCCUUUAGGGAUCAUGCUUGUUUUCACAGAAGAACCUAGCAAGGACAUAAAUGGGGACCUGAGUCUCACACACAACCCUGGAAUUAGAAAUAAAGUAACCACAAGCACAUCCUACCUACACAGAUGCAAGCAAGGCUCAGUCUUCUGAACACCUGCCUUUCCCUGACUAAUGUUCUGCCUACAGUGGACCUCACACACUGACCAGUCAGGACACCAUGCUCUCUGGAAGUUGAAAUUCCUUAUUUUGCAUGGAGGAGGUGAAUGGAAAGUUUUGGGGGCUUUUUCCCCCCUUAUUUUCUCUCCUUUUCCUUUGUUCAGAGAACUGAGGGCCUUCUCUGCCCCUGUCAGAGCUGAGACUUCCUUCCAGUGGAGCAGAAGUCCCAAUAAGAAGACUUGCCUGAGUCUGUAUUACCCUGGGUCUGGUCUGAUUUCUACUAUCUCUGCACCCAAGAACCUGCUUCUGGAAACAGACUACUCAUAACAGUAAUAAAACCCUCUUGGUAUUCUUGUCAUUUCUAAGUAAAGAAUACACACUUCAGAAAACUAAGGUAGUGGGCAGAAACAGAAUACAGCCAAAAAAGAGUCACCAAAGAAAAACACCAAUGACAACAGUAGUGUUCUAAAGCACAUCUUCAUGGCAAGAAGGAACCCAUUGUGCAGUUAUUCCUUGUUGUGAGUAUGAUGCACUGUUUUCUCAAUUUCCAAUGAAAUCAAAAUCUCAAUCCGUAGUUAACUCUCAUGCUCAUGAAACAACCUUGAUGUUUCAUUUUUUUCUUUGUAUCAAGAAAAUAGUCUCUUCCAGUUAAAAAGAAUAACCUGGUCUUCAUGAGGGUUAUGUUAUUAACUGAAAUUAUUAAAGUAUCAUUAUGAUUUAUGUAUCACAGCCACUUGUGAGCUUAGUUUGUGGGACUCAGUAUCCAUAAGUCUAAGUAUCUGAAGCACUGAUGAGUUGGAGUGGCUGAGACUGUAACACUGCAGGUACUUAGACUACCACAUUUAAGUGCUGCCACUUGGAUCUGUUGACAACAAACAACACCCACCUCCUCACCCCAGUCACAUCUGCUGUUGCCAAAUACUUUUUUGGUGACAUUUGACACAUUCUAUAACAUCAUCGUUCUGGACAUUGCAUUUUAAUUUGUUAACUGUUGUAAUUUUAUGGUUUUCUUUCUAAUGAGAAAGAAAUUAGAUCCUAAUAUUGGAAAUAAUCAUUCCCACUUCUCCAUCAUCUUGGGUCUUGAAUGGAGGGCUGCUGCUUCAUUCGCAGUUAGUCUUUCUCCAUAACUUCAGGACACGUUAUUAUAUGAUGUUCCAGAGUACUUUAUUCUUCCAAUUAUUCCUUUUAUUUCUCCUUUCCUAUUCUUUAUGUAAGCAGGAAUGUUGUUCAAAUAUAUUAAAAAGAGACCAGUAAAUUUCACUUUUUCCAUUUAUAAACCUCCUAUCAGCCUGUCACACACAAUUAGGAGUCAUUAGAAACAGAUCUGCUUACUAUGUGAAAAGCUGUCACACUGGCUAAUGGUCGUCCCUGAGCCUCAUGCUUCUGUGUCUAUACCAAUACUGCUCUUUUAAACAGAGCCACUUUGGUGACAUCUUGUCACAUGAUUUAUCAGGGAAUAUAAAAAGGGGGAAGGAGGGCUUUUAAAUCAUUCUUUUGCUAGUUGACAAUUUAAUCUUCUGUGCAGUUUCAAAUACAAAACCAUAUUAGUUUAGAUGCCAGUGAUAUUUUCCUCUAUUAAUUUAUGAAAAUCAGGUCCCACCACUCCCAGCCCAGAGGAAAGGGCUUUUGGGCUGCCAUC